Molecule: microRNA, 21 nt
Filed under: Gallus gallus (chicken)
Lineage: Eukaryota; Metazoa; Chordata; Aves; Galliformes; Phasianidae
Description: gga-miR-12218-3p
Source: miRBase by way of RNAcentral
CUCAUGCCCUCUCUGUGCCAG